This 301-nucleotide ribosomal RNA is filed under the name uncultured bacterium. RNAcentral describes it as "partial 16S ribosomal RNA". It matches the Rfam family "Bacterial small subunit ribosomal RNA", at positions 509 to 807 of the family's 1533-position model. The record is from RNAcentral.
CAGUAGCCGCGGUAAUACGUAGGGUGCAAGCGUUAAUCGGAAUUACUGGGCGUAAAGCGUGCGCAGGCGGUUUGUUAAGACAGAUGUGAAAUCCCCGGGCUCAACCUGGGAACUGCAUUUGUGACUGGCAAGCUAGAGUCUGGCAGAGGGGGGUGGAAUUCCGCGUGUAGCAGUGAAAUGCGUAGAUAUGCGGAGGAACACCGAUGGCGAAGGCAGCCCCCUGGGCCAAUACUAACGCUCAUGCACGAAAGCGUGGGGAGCAGACAGGAUUAGAUACCCCGGUAGUCCCUGUCUCUUAUAC